This is a long non-coding RNA of Coregonus clupeaformis (lake whitefish), 1251 nucleotides long. RefSeq lists it as uncharacterized. The record is from RefSeq and is a predicted model, not a curated record. NCBI's taxonomy places the organism in Eukaryota, Metazoa, Chordata, Actinopteri, Salmoniformes, Salmonidae. The transcript is spliced from 2 exons.
AGAGCAUUGACCUGCUGAGUGGACUAAAGAUGGGGGAGCAAGGUGGUUGGCUGGAAGCUAACAGAGGAGACUGAGCAGCCAUAUUGGAUUCCCAGACCCAGAGUGGUGCAGCCAAGGGCCCAGGGGACAUCAUUGAGCAGGCCAGGACCAGAGGCGACAUAGUGGAGGUCAAUGGAUGGGACAGGGUCCUCAACUCUGUGCUGGGAAACAGAGAGUCGAACACAAAACAACAACCAAACAGUCUCCAUGAUAACAGUCUGGUUGAGACCAGGGCGAGGCGUAGAUUUGGUCUGCAAGGACGGGGAGGUGUCUGUACGCGGCUCGACAGAACAGACACAGACUCUGCUAGUGAUGCUCCGUCCUGCUCCUAUAGUUGUGAUUCAGAGAGACUGAUGGUGCCUCAGGUUAACUCCCCUAACAGGUGCUGCCUUCAGCCUGCCUUCUAUAGGAUCUAUCAACUGGAACAUGGACCCUGCGACAACAGACACUCCCUGGCCUUCAUGCUCCUCACAAUCUCCUAAUGUUAAACCAGACCUCAGACAAUGCCAGUGCCUCAACACUAAAUGGCUACACAAGCCCAUUGACAAAUGACAGUGGUAGUGAUGCUAUCAGCAGAUCCGGUGGUAAAGAGAAGUGCUUCCCAUGUUCGAUUCUGUGGGAAAGUCUUCAGUUUCUGCAAACAGAUGGAGAUCCACUAGAGGAUGCACACGGGGGAUAAACAGUUUGGCUGCCCCUUGUGUGAGAAGAUAUUCUCCCACCAGAACCAGCUGAAAUGCACCUGAAGGUCCACACGGGAGAAAGGCUGUUCGUCUGUACGCACUGCGGGAAGAGGUUCUCAGAGAGGAGCUUCCUCAGGAUACACCAGCAGAAAAUGCACACGGUCCAUGUAUAGAGUAUUGUAAUGUAGUACUAGUUAGUUUGUAGUUCAUUCGGUUGGUUUUUGAUGUAUAGGGAACUGGAUGAGGUGAACUUAAGAAAUUUAGAUACUGGUGUUUUAUAGUGAGAAGGAUUGUGCCUUAAUUCAUGUUUACUUGAAAUGAAGGUGUGUAAUGUAAUGUUUAACCUUUUCCAAACAAUUCAAAAAUGUAUUUGAUCAAAGCGAGGGUAUCAGAUUUACAGAAAAUGUUAAGUGUUAACAUAGUGAGAAGUUAUUCUACUUGACAUGUAUCGUUUUGUGCAAUAAAAGUACUGUACUUCAAAUGAUGUUAGUGUAUGACCAUUUUGUUGAAAUAAAAUACAAAAUUGACUGUG